ACAUUGGUGGUUCAGUGGUAGAAUUCUUGCCUUCCGUGUGGGGGAUCGGGGUUCAAUUCCCAGCCAGUGCA
RNAcentral lists this transfer RNA (71 nucleotides) under Loxodonta africana (African savanna elephant). It matches the Rfam family "tRNA". Rfam says of the family: Transfer RNA (tRNA) molecules are approximately 80 nucleotides in length. Their secondary structure includes four short double-helical elements and three loops (D, anti-codon, and T loops). Further hydrogen bonds mediate the characteristic L-shaped molecular structure. tRNAs have two regions of fundamental functional importance: the anti-codon, which is responsible for specific mRNA codon recognition, and the 3' end, to which the tRNAs corresponding amino acid is attached (by aminoacyl-tRNA synthetases). tRNAs cope with the degeneracy of the genetic code in two manners: having more than one tRNA (with a specific anti-codon) for a particular amino acid; and 'wobble' base-pairing, i.e. permitting non-standard base-pairing at the 3rd anti-codon position. Lineage: Eukaryota; Metazoa; Chordata; Mammalia; Proboscidea; Elephantidae. The record is from Rfam by way of RNAcentral.